This 465-nucleotide ribosomal RNA is filed under the name uncultured bacterium. Its description in RNAcentral is "bacterial SSU rRNA". It matches the Rfam family "Bacterial small subunit ribosomal RNA", at positions 198 to 644 of the family's 1533-position model. The record is from RNAcentral.
GGAGGAAAGCAGGGGAUCGCAAGACCUUGCGCUUUUGGAGCGGCCGAUGCCUGAUUAGCUUGUUGGUGAGGUAAAAGCUCACCAAGGCUCCGAUCAGUAGCUGGUCUGAGAGGACGACCAGCCACACUGGGACUGAGACACGGCCCAGACUCCUACGGGAGGCAGCAGUGGGGAAUUUUGGACAAUGGGGGCAACCCUGAUCCAGCCAUGCCGCGUGAGUGAAGAAGGCCUUCGGGUUGUAAAGCUCUUUCAGCCGGAACGAAACGGUCACGGUCAAUACCCGUGACUACUGACGGUACCGGAAGAAGAAGCACCGGCUAACUACGUGCCAGCAGCCGCGGUAAUACGUAGGGUGCGAGCGUUAAUCGGAAUUACUGGGCGUAAAGCGUGCGCAGGCGGUUUUGUAAGUCAGAUGUGAAAUCCCCGGGCUUAACCUGGGAACUGCGUUUGAAACUACAAGGCUAG